Molecule: transfer RNA, 68 nt
Filed under: Lysmata vittata
Lineage: Eukaryota; Metazoa; Arthropoda; Malacostraca; Decapoda; Hippolytidae
Description: tRNA-Thr
Rfam family: tRNA
About the family: Transfer RNA (tRNA) molecules are approximately 80 nucleotides in length. Their secondary structure includes four short double-helical elements and three loops (D, anti-codon, and T loops).
Source: RNAcentral
GUUUUAGUAAUUUAAUAAAAAAUACUGGUCUUGUACACCAGAAAAGAAAUUCUAACUUUCCUAAUACU